UACGGAGGGUGCAAGCGUUAUCCGGAAUCACUGGGUUUAAAGGGUGCGUAGGCGGUUUAAUAAGUCAGAGGUGAAAGCCCACAGCUCAACUGUGGAAUUGCCUUUGAUACUGUUGGACUUGAAUCAGGUUGAGGUUGGCGGAAUGUGACAUGUAGCGGUGAAAUGCAUAGAUAUGUCAUAGAACACCAAUUGCGAAGGCAGCUGACUAGGCCUUGAUUGACGCUGAGGCACGAAAGCGUGGGGAGCGAACAGG
Molecule: ribosomal RNA, 253 nt
Filed under: uncultured bacterium
Lineage: Bacteria
Description: partial 16S ribosomal RNA
Rfam family: Bacterial small subunit ribosomal RNA
Source: RNAcentral